This 439-nucleotide ribosomal RNA is filed under the name Escherichia coli. It matches the Rfam family "Bacterial small subunit ribosomal RNA", at positions 990 to 1430 of the family's 1533-position model. The record is from RNAcentral. Lineage: Bacteria; Pseudomonadati; Pseudomonadota; Gammaproteobacteria; Enterobacterales; Enterobacteriaceae.
ACAGAACUUUCCAGAGAUGGAUUGGUGCCUUCGGGAACUGUGAGACAGGUGCUGCAUGGCUGUCGUCAGCUCGUGUUGUGAAAUGUUGGGUUAAGUCCCGCAACGAGCGCAACCCUUAUCCUUUGUUGCCAGCGGUCCGGCCGGGAACUCAAAGGAGACUGCCAGUGAUAAACUGGAGGAAGGUGGGGAUGACGUCAAGUCAUCAUGGCCCUUACGACCAGGGCUACACACGUGCUACAAUGGCGCAUACAAAGAGAAGCGACCUCGCGAGAGCAAGCGGACCUCAUAAAGUGCGUCGUAGUCCGGAUUGGAGUCUGCAACUCGACUCCAUGAAGUCGGAAUCGCUAGUAAUCGUGGAUCAGAAUGCCACGGUGAAUACGUUCCCGGGCCUUGUACACACCGCCCGUCACACCAUGGGAGUGGUUGCAAAAGAAGUAGG